CAACUUGAGAGUUUGAUCAUGGCUCAGAACGAACGCUGGCGGCAGGCCUAACACAUGCAAGUCGAACGCUGUAGCAAUACAGAGUGGCGCACGGGAGAGUAACGCGUGGGAACCUACCUUUUGGUUUGGGAUAACGUCGGGAAACUGACGCUAAUACCGGAUAAGCCCUUCGGGGGAAAGAUUUAUCGCCGAUAGAUGGGCCCGCGUUAGAUUAGCUUGUUGGUGAGGUAACGGCUCACCAAGGCAACGAUCUAUAGCUGGUCUGAGAGGAUGACCAGCCUCACUGGGACUGAGACACGGCCCAGACUCCUACGGGAGGCAGCAGUGGGGAAUAUUGGACAAUGG
Molecule: ribosomal RNA, 345 nt
Filed under: Alphaproteobacteria bacterium
Lineage: Bacteria; Pseudomonadati; Pseudomonadota; Alphaproteobacteria
Description: bacterial SSU rRNA
Rfam family: Bacterial small subunit ribosomal RNA
Source: RNAcentral